RNAcentral lists this ribosomal RNA (840 nucleotides) under uncultured beta proteobacterium. Its description in RNAcentral is "bacterial SSU rRNA". It matches the Rfam family "Bacterial small subunit ribosomal RNA", at positions 56 to 902 of the family's 1533-position model. Lineage: Bacteria; Pseudomonadati; Pseudomonadota; Betaproteobacteria. The record is from RNAcentral.
UGAAGUCGAGCGGCAGCGCGGGGCAACCUGGCGGCGAGCGGCGAACGGGUGAGUAAUACAUCGGAACAUGUCCAAUCGUGGGGGAUAGCCCGGCGAAAGCCGGAUUAAUACCGCAUACGCUCGAGAGAGGAAAGCGGGGGACCGCAAGGCCUCGCGCGAUUGGGUUGGCCGAUGUCCGAUUAGCUUGUUGGUGAGGUAAAGGCUUACCAAGGCGAUGAUCGGUAGCUGGUCUGAGAGGAUGAUCAGCCACACUGGGACUGAGACACGGCCCAGACUCCUACGGGAGGCAGCAGUGGGGAAUUUUGGACAAUGGGGGCAACCCUGAUCCAGCCAUUCCGCGUGAGUGAAGAAGGCCUUCGGGUUGUAAAGCUCUUUUGUCCGGAGCGAAACGGGCGCGGUGAAUAUCCGCGUCUACUGACGGUACCGGAAGAAUAAGCACCGGCUAACUACGUGCCAGCAGCCGCGGUAAUACGUAGGGUGCGAGCGUUAAUCGGAAUUACUGGGCGUAAAGCGUGCGCAGGCGGUUGUGUAAGCCAGAUGUGAAAUCCCCGGGCUUAACCUGGGAAUGGCAUUUGGGACUGCACGGCUGGGGUAUGGCAGAGGGGACUAGAAUUCCUGGUGUAGCAGUGAAAUGCGUAGAUAUCAGGAGGAAUACCGAUGGCGAAGGCAGGUCCCUGGGCUGAUACUGACGCUCAUGCACGAAAGCGUGGGGAGCAAACAGGAUUAGAUACCCUGUAGUCCACGCCCUAAACGAUGUCGACUGGUUGUUGGGGGUUUGACCUCUCAGUAACGAAGCUACGCGUGAAGUCACGCCGGGGAGUAGGCCGCAAGUUAAAACUC